AGCAGCCGCGGUAAUUCCAGCUCCAAUAGCGUAUAUUAAAGUUGUUGCAGUUAAAAAGCUCGUAGUUGAAUUUCGGGGUCAGCAGGUUGGUCGUGCCACUGGUAUGCACUGGCCUUGCUGAUUCCUCCCUCUUGAUGAACCGUAAUGCCAUUAAUUUGGUGUUGCGGGGAAUCAGGACUGUUACUUUGAAAAAAUUAGAGUGUUUAAAGCAGGCAAGCGCUUGAAUACAUUAGCAUGGAAUAAUGAAAUAGGACGUUUGAUCCUAUUUUGUUGGUUUCUAGGAUUGACGUAAUGAUUAAUAGGGAUAGUUGGGGGCAUUAGUAUUCAAUUGUCAGAGGUGAAAUUCUUGGAUUUAUUGAAGACUAACUACUGCGAAAGCAUUUGCCAAGGAUGUUUUCAUUAAUCAAGAACGAAAGUUAGGGGAUCGAAGACGAUCAGAUACCGUCGUAG
Molecule: ribosomal RNA, 450 nt
Filed under: uncultured Glomeromycotina
Lineage: Eukaryota; Fungi; Glomeromycota
Description: SSU rRNA
Rfam family: Eukaryotic small subunit ribosomal RNA
Source: RNAcentral